Long non-coding RNA from Lemur catta (Ring-tailed lemur), 431 nucleotides. RefSeq lists it as uncharacterized. The transcript is spliced from 3 exons. Lineage: Eukaryota; Metazoa; Chordata; Mammalia; Primates; Lemuridae. The record is from RefSeq and is a predicted model, not a curated record.
UGUAGCAAAAGACAGAGCUGGAAUCUGAUACCAGAUCUACCUGAUUCAAGUCUAGAUUUUUUUCCACUGUGCACUGCAAAUUAUCCUUCCAUCACUCACCCUGAAACAGAAUUAUUGACCAACAAGUGGGAAGCUGUCCAAGUUUUACUCGACUACUAAAGUGGAGAAUAUCAGUAUCCCCCUCAUUGCUUGAGGGAAGAAGGGUACUGCUGCCAGAAAGCAAUGUCGGCUCAGUCCUGCUGGGGACCCUCUGAGAAAGUGUCUGAAACAUGCCUCAAGAUUGUCCACUGGCGGGUUGUGCCUGAUUGCAGUGGGGCAAAUUCCCAGAGGUGUGAACUUUCACCUUCUCUGAAAACAUCUUCCUUCUCCUUUUCUCCAACAUUCUCCAUCUCCAGCCUCCAGGAAGGAAGAAUAAAGAAAAAAAGUCUAAU